AAACUUUUGUGACUUGCUGAAACGGGACUAAUCUCCUCACCGAGGCUAAGCAAGUAAAAUACGCCUCUCAUAUCCUUACCUGAGGGUGGUAAGGAAAUAAGUACCUCC
Molecule: non-coding RNA, 108 nt
Filed under: unclassified sequences
Description: PhotoRC-II RNA
Rfam family: PhotoRC-II RNA (bases 20-108)
Source: RNAcentral